This 442-nucleotide ribosomal RNA is filed under the name uncultured bacterium. RNAcentral's name for it is "partial 16S ribosomal RNA". It matches the Rfam family "Bacterial small subunit ribosomal RNA", at positions 338 to 795 of the family's 1533-position model. The record is from RNAcentral.
CCUACGGGCGGCAGCAGUAGGGAAUCUUUCACAAUGGGCGAAAGCCUGAUGGAGCAACGCCGCGUGCAGGAUGAAGGCCUUCGGGUUGUAAACUGCUUUUAUAAGCGGGAAAUAUGAUGGUAACUUAUGAAUAAGGAUCGGCUAACUACGUGCCAGCAGCCGCGGUCAUACGUAGGAUCCGAGCAUUAUCCGGAGUGACUGGGUGUAAAGAGUUGCGUAGGUGGCAUAAUAAGUAGCUAGUGAAAUCUGGUGGCUCAACCAUUCAGACUAUUAGCUAAACUGUUAAGCUCGAGACCGUUAAGGGUAACUGGAAUUUCUGGUGUAGGAGUGAAAUCCGUAGAUAUUAGAAGGAACACCAAUAGCGUAGGCAGGUUGCUGGGACGGUUCUGACACUAAGGCACGAAAGCGUAGGGAGCAAACGGGAUUAGAUACCCCAGUAGUC